RNAcentral lists this ribosomal RNA (2924 nucleotides) under Escherichia coli. Its description in RNAcentral is "bacterial LSU rRNA". It matches the Rfam family "Bacterial large subunit ribosomal RNA". The record is from RNAcentral. Lineage: Bacteria; Pseudomonadati; Pseudomonadota; Gammaproteobacteria; Enterobacterales; Enterobacteriaceae.
GGGUUGUGAGGUUAAGCGACUAAGCGUACACGGUGGAUGCCCUGGCAGUCAGAGGCGAUGAAGGACGUGCUAAUCUGCGAUAAGCGUCGGUAAGGUGAUAUGAACCGUUAUAACCGGCGAUUUCCGAAUGGGGAAACCCAGUGUGAUUCGUCACACUAUCAUUAACUGAAUCCAUAGGUUAAUGAGGCGAACCGGGGGAACUGAAACAUCUAAGUACCCCGAGGAAAAGAAAUCAACCGAGAUUCCCCCAGUAGCGGCGAGCGAACGGGGAGCAGCCCAGAGCCUGAAUCAGUGUGUGUGUUAGUGGAAGCGUCUGGAAAGGCGUGCGAUACAGGGUGACAGCCCCGUACACAAAAAUGCACAUAUUGUGAGCUCGAUGAGUAGGGCGGGACACGUGGUAUCCUGUCUGAAUAUGGGGGGACCAUCCUCCAAGGCUAAAUACUCCUGACUGACCGAUAGUGAACCAGUACCGUGAGGGAAAGGCGAAAAGAACCCCGGCGAGGGGAGUGAAAAAGAACCUGAAACCGUGUACGUACAAGCAGUGGGAGCACGCUUAGGCGUGUGACUGCGUACCUUUUGUAUAAUGGGUCAGCGACUUAUAUUCUGUAGCAAGGUUAACCGAAUAGGGGAGCCGAAGGGAAACCGAGUCUUAACUGGGCGUUAAGUUGCAGGGUAUAGACCCGAAACCCGGUGAUCUAGCCAUGGGCAGGUUGAAGGUUGGGUAACACUAACUGGAGGACCGAACCGACUAAUGUUGAAAAAUUAGCGGAUGACUUGUGGCUGGGGGUGAAAGGCCAAUCAAACCGGGAGAUAGCUGGUUCUCCCCGAAAGCUAUUUAGGUAGCGCCUCGUGAAUUCAUCUCCGGGGGUAGAGCACUGUUUCGGCAAGGGGGUCAUCCCGACUUACCAACCCGAUGCAAACUGCGAAUACCGGAGAAUGUUAUCACGGGAGACACACGGCGGGUGCUAACGUCCGUCGUGAAGAGGGAAACAACCCAGACCGCCAGCUAAGGUCCCAAAGUCAUGGUUAAGUGGGAAACGAUGUGGGAAGGCCCAGACAGCCAGGAUGUUGGCUUAGAAGCAGCCAUCAUUUAAAGAAAGCGUAAUAGCUCACUGGUCGAGUCGGCCUGCGCGGAAGAUGUAACGGGGCUAAACCAUGCACCGAAGCUGCGGCAGCGACACUAUGUGUUGUUGGGUAGGGGAGCGUUCUGUAAGCCUGUGAAGGUGUACUGUGAGGUAUGCUGGAGGUAUCAGAAGUGCGAAUGCUGACAUAAGUAACGAUAAAGCGGGUGAAAAGCCCGCUCGCCGGAAGACCAAGGGUUCCUGUCCAACGUUAAUCGGGGCAGGGUGAGUCGACCCCUAAGGCGAGGCCGAAAGGCGUAGUCGAUGGGAAACAGGUUAAUAUUCCUGUACUUGGUGUUACUGCGAAGGGGGGACGGAGAAGGCUAUGUUGGCCGGGCGACGGUUGUCCCGGUUUAAGCGUGUAGGCUGGUUUUCCAGGCAAAUCCGGAAAAUCAAGGCUGAGGCGUGAUGACGAGGCACUACGGUGCUGAAGCAACAAAUGCCCUGCUUCCAGGAAAAGCCUCUAAGCAUCAGGUAACAUCAAAUCGUACCCCAAACCGACACAGGUGGUCAGGUAGAGAAUACCAAGGCGCUUGAGAGAACUCGGGUGAAGGAACUAGGCAAAAUGGUGCCGUAACUUCGGGAGAAGGCACGCUGAUAUGUAGGUGAAGUCCCUCGCGGAUGGAGCUGAAAUCAGUCGAAGAUACCAGCUGGCUGCAACUGUUUAUUAAAAACACAGCACUGUGCAAACACGAAAGUGGACGUAUACGGUGUGACGCCUGCCCGGUGCCGGAAGGUUAAUUGAUGGGGUUAGCGCAAGCGAAGCUCUUGAUCGAAGCCCCGGUAAACGGCGGCCGUAACUAUAACGGUCCUAAGGUAGCGAAAUUCCUUGUCGGGUAAGUUCCGACCUGCACGAAUGGCGUAAUGAUGGCCAGGCUGUCUCCACCCGAGACUCAGUGAAAUUGAACUCGCUGUGAAGAUGCAGUGUACCCGCGGCAAGACGGAAAGACCCCGUGAACCUUUACUAUAGCUUGACACUGAACAUUGAGCCUUGAUGUGUAGGAUAGGUGGGAGGCUUUGAAGUGUGGACGCCAGUCUGCAUGGAGCCGACCUUGAAAUACCACCCUUUAAUGUUUGAUGUUCUAACGUUGACCCGUGAUCCGGGUUGCGGACAGUGUCUGGUGGGUAGUUUGACUGGGGCGGUCUCCUCCUAAAGAGUAACGGAGGAGCACGAAGGUUGGCUAAUCCUGGUCGGACAUCAGGAGGUUAGUGCAAUGGCAUAAGCCAGCUUGACUGCGAGCGUGACGGCGCGAGCAGGUGCGAAAGCAGGUCAUAGUGAUCCGGUGGUUCUGAAUGGAAGGGCCAUCGCUCAACGGAUAAAAGGUACUCCGGGGAUAACAGGCUGAUACCGCCCAAGAGUUCAUAUCGACGGCGGUGUUUGGCACCUCGAUGUCGGCUCAUCACAUCCUGGGGCUGAAGUAGGUCCCAAGGGUAUGGCUGUUCGCCAUUUAAAGUGGUACGCGAGCUGGGUUUAGAACGUCGUGAGACAGUUCGGUCCCUAUCUGCCGUGGGCGCUGGAGAACUGAGGGGGGCUGCUCCUAGUACGAGAGGACCGGAGUGGACGCAUCACUGGUGUUCGGGUUGUCAUGCCAAUGGCACUGCCCGGUAGCUAAAUGCGGAAGAGAUAAGUGCUGAAAGCAUCUAAGCACGAAACUUGCCCCGAGAUGAGUUCUCCCUGACUCCUUGAGAGUCCUGAAGGAACGUUGAAGACGACGACGUUGAUAGGCCGGGUGUGUAAGCGCAGCGAUGCGUUGAGCUAACCGGUACUAAUGAACCGUGAGGCUUAACCUUACAACGCCGAAG